RNAcentral lists this ribosomal RNA (119 nucleotides) under Pteropus alecto (black flying fox). Lineage: Eukaryota; Metazoa; Chordata; Mammalia; Chiroptera; Pteropodidae. The record is from RNAcentral.
GUCUACAGGCAUGCCACCCUGAACAAGCCCAAUCCUGUCUGAUUUCGGAAACUAAGCAGGGUCGGGCCUGGUUAGUACUCAGAUGGGAGACCACCUAGGAAGACCAGGUGCUAUAGGUG